AAAAUCCGUCGACUUUAAACAUCGUGAGGGUUCAAGUCCCUCUAUCCCCA
Molecule: transfer RNA, 50 nt
Filed under: Paraboea laxa
Lineage: Eukaryota; Viridiplantae; Streptophyta; Magnoliopsida; Lamiales; Gesneriaceae
Description: partial tRNA-Leu
Source: RNAcentral